CACGUAGGGCGCGAGCGUUGUCCGGAAUUAUUGGGCGUAAAGAGCUCGUAGGCGGCCUGUUGCGUCCGCUGUGAAAGCCCGGGGCUUAACCCCGGGUCUGCAGUGGAUACGGGCAGGCUAGAGGUAGGUAGGGGAGAAUGGAAUUCCCGGUGUAGCGGUGAAAUGCGCAGAUAUCUGGAGGAACACCGGUGGCGAAGGCGGCCAUCUGGACGGUAACUGACGCUGAGACGCGAAAGCGUGGGGAGCAAACAGG
RNAcentral lists this ribosomal RNA (253 nucleotides) under uncultured bacterium. RNAcentral's name for it is "partial 16S ribosomal RNA". It matches the Rfam family "Bacterial small subunit ribosomal RNA", at positions 524 to 776 of the family's 1533-position model. The record is from RNAcentral.